RNAcentral lists this long non-coding RNA (9145 nucleotides) under Marmota monax (woodchuck). The record is from RNAcentral. Lineage: Eukaryota; Metazoa; Chordata; Mammalia; Rodentia; Sciuridae.
CAGCAGUUGUGGUGCUGUACCUCCUGCGGCAGUGGCUGAGCCCGCCUCCCCGUGGCUUCCCCUGCUGGUGGCACCUGGCUCUUUGGUGGGGAAGGAGGAGUGACAGCUCUCUCCUCUAAGAUUAAGGACAACACGUGGCGUGUUAGGCCCUGGGCCUGGUCUCCUCAACCCAGGAAGGAAGCAGCCUGGGAGCUGGGGGCUUUGGCAGGGCCACCUCCUUUCUUUGGGCUGCCACUGAGGUAGGAGGCAGGUAUCAGGGGGAGCCCCGGGCAGCUUCAGAAGUCAGUGCUGGUCCAGGCUGGAGAGGAGAGGGCAGUCCCACACCUCCAGCCUGCUUCAUGCUGACCGCAAGAGCACAGAGGCGCUUCCCGGGAGCGCUCGGUCACAGCCUCCUGGACAGAGGGAGCUGCAGAGGGGAGCCCUCACUGAGAGAGCCCAAAGUUUUGACAGCCCUUUUAUUUCCGGGCCUUCCCAUUCCCAUGGCCACCUCAAGGGCAGAUGCUGUGCCCACGGUGUUUGCUGUUCCGACCGCACUCAGCACUGCCCGCCCGACACGUAAUGGAAAAUCAAUCAGUGUUGUCAAAUGACCUUUACAGCCAUCUAGUUGAGGUGAAAUCCCAUCAAACCAUUCCCUUCUCUGCAGUGUGAAAGCCAUGCAGUGUUAACAAUUAGGUUAACAAAGAAGCAAACAAAUAAAGCUUAUGCAAAGGAAAAAAAGGUGGAAGGAAAUAAUCAAAAUAUCAACUCUCUUUGGGAAUUGUGAGUAUGUUCAUUUCUCUGCUCUGCUUUUGUGAACUCUGUUUUUCCAACUUUCUUGUCAUAAAAACUUGCUAACUUUUAUUGUGAAAAGAUCCUUAGCCAACUUUGUUUAAAAAUGUGAAAUCCUUUGUAAGUCUGUCUGGAGCAGGGGCAGCUCUCUGCUGACUCUCCUCACUAUCUGGGUGAGGGGUGGCUGUGGAGGAGUCAUACGCUCAUAUGGGUGCCUCGCUCUAAUGGAGGUGUUCACUCAUUUUUUAACAGUUUAACCAAGUAACAAGGACAGGGAAGGCACUGGUGAGUCCUUCCAGAACAAUAACGUUGCGCAAUUCUUUAUGAACUACGCAAGCGUGCUUCCCCCGUGGAUCGAUUCUCUGGCGUCAUCUCUUUCUGGGUUGAUCUCCUCUCCCCUGGAUCUAAGCCCAUUUUCUGUUGCCAUAACCGAAUGCCACAGAGAGAGCAAUCAAUAAAGAAGGGGGUUUAUUCAGCGCCCAGUGCAGUCCUUGGCAUCUACAGGCCCUCAAAAGAUGUUUGAUGAAUGAAGAAACAAAAUCAAACACAAUUUCCGCUCUCGGUCACCUGCUAAUUAACGCAGGCAGCUGUGACACAGUGAAAAGACAGACCCGUGUGAGAAUGGAGUGAGCUGUGGCCUAGUGGCAGAGCACUGGCCUGGCACGCAUGAGGCCUGGGCUCAGCACUGCCCAAAAUAAACAAACAAACCAACAAACAAAGGAAAAUUAAUACAAGAUGGAAAAACAGAAAUUUACUCCAAGCAACUUUCAGAGACGUAAACUAACUUUCCAUAUUCUGGGUCUCCCAAUGUUUUACUUUGUUGUUCCUGUUAACAAUUGUCAUCUGAGAUUUUGCUGUUUGUAUCCUGCCUAUCAAAAAUUCUGUGGUUUUGUGGUAAGAACAAGAACCAGUUUCUAUGCAGCCAUGGUAAUCAUUGCUUGUGGAAAACAAAACAAAAUAAACAACUCUUUUCCUUGAGCUCAUAAAAGAAAAGACGUAGAGCCUGGAGAUGCCUGAUUUGGGUGUAACGUUCAUGCCAAAAGCUCCAGACAACCCGGUGGCCCAACAGCACGUUCAUUAUGCUCACAAGCUUUGGCAGGGAAUCAACCAUGUGCCAGUCACUAGUCUAAGCGCUGGCCUGGCUCUUCCCAGGGGACAGUGAGUGUCCACCACAGGGUUGCUGGAGUGGAGACUCUCGCCCUCGCCCAUCACCCUGGGGCGCCAGCCUGAGACGGGAGGGCUUUUCCCCUCAGGUGGAGGAGGCAGCUCGGUUCUUGCUCCUGUCUCUCGGACUGGCGAGAGACGCAGUCAUCGCAGGGCUUCACAGAAUCGAGGGAGCCAUGAAGUCACAGAGAGAGAGAAGAGGCUUUCGCGAUUAGAUGGGUGGAGGCAAAUAGGAAGGACGACCUGAGCCGUGGAAGUCGAACGCAGGAGGCACUGAGGCAAGAAAUACAUAAAGGAGAACAACAGAGGACGCCAGGAAAGGAACAGGCCUAAGGGGACCUGGGGAGGGCACAGGGGGUGGGGGCCGGGCCCAGCGAGGCCUGUGGGGGGCAGCCCCCGAGCAGUGUUCCUGGCUUGUGACCCUGGGGGCCCAGGCACGGGAGCCCGCAGGUGCAGAGCUCGCCUUGGCUCCUCGGGCCCUGGGCUUGUCUCUGCCUUGCUGUGGCCACUCUGGUCUUCUUCUUGAGGCUCCAGCUCCUCUAGGACGAGCCAUGACUUAGAAUGAAAAUUUUCAACUACUCGCCAUCCGGUGGCCCUUUUAUGACCAUUCAACUCAGAAAUGAGGGGAGGUCGUUCCUUCUGUCUGUUCAUUUAUUGCCUAAUGCAGCCUAUGAGACUUAAAACCCAGGAAGUUCUCCCCUUGGUCCACCUGGGUCACUGGGCGCAGGACAUCACCUGGCUCCUGGUUUGCUCUCCAGCCUCAUCUCCGGCUCCUUCCUUCGCCACUCACAUUGGGGUUCUUGUGUGUUCCAGCCCAACAGGCUCAGUUCUGCACUGGGCCUUGGCUCACUUGUCUCUCAGUAUGGGAUGCUGUUGGCAGAUAUUCAGAUGGCACUGUCAUUCAGGUCUCUGUUCAAAUGUCACCAUCUCCUAAGACUCUUCUCUGACAAACUGACUGAAGAACAGCUUCUGCUUCUGCCUUCAAGCCCACAGGCCGAUUCUUGUGCCCCCAAUUGCUAUCUCACUCUGUGCCUUCAUUCAUUCACUCACACGUGCAUGCCCUUGCCACUUGGAGCAGAUGCACGCGAUGCGUGUGUUGAGAGACAUUUCUUUGAGUCUCUCACAUUUCGUAUUCCUUGCAAAAACCGACACGGACUGUUGCAGAUUAUCUCUCCCAGCACAUUUGUAUCAUAAACACUCUGGAAGAUGGAGAUAAUGCCUCCCUUUAUAGCAAAGAGCAGGACAGCUUAUUAACCAUUAGAAAAGAUUCAGGCUCCCUGGGCGCACAGAUUCUCUCCUGUACCACAGCCUACUCCAUGGGCAACUGUCCUGCAGGUCCCAAGUUCAGAUUCCCACAGCUGAUUUCUAUUCAAGAAUGAAUCGACACUCUGUAUCUACAAAAAUGUGGCAGGCUACCUUUUACUUUGCAGGUAGGAGAGACGCUUUCUAAAGGUAAACACUUUCAAUGAGUCAACAGUCAAUUGUUUGUAGAGAUCCCUCCCCACACUAACACCUGGUCACUGUUGCCUCUGUGCUGCCCGGAACACAACAGACGGCUCGGCCCUUGGUGAAGUAUCUUUACACCUAAUGAGGACUCCUCAUCACCAAGGGAAAUUCUCCCACGUCUCCCACUCUGCAUGCAGAAGAAGGUCAUCCCCCUGACCUUGUCCAAGUCUCUGGGGUUUCGAUUUUAUUUGUAGAGGUUAUUUAUAGAGUGUUUUCUUUGUGCACAGGCAAGACUGAGAAUUUACAAGGUUGUUUUCGGUAACUCCCUGAUCCUCAGCUGUCUUGAGACUCUUUGAUUCAUAGGCAGUGGUGUGGCUAAGAUGAGUAGGUCAUUCAUGAGCCUGGGCUGCUGUCUUGCCAGACUGAACCAAGGCUGUUUUUAAAGAGAUACAAUAAUUUAUUCACACUAGUAAUAGAAACACACGCAGGAAAUGUUACCACCCCCCAAAUUCUUAUGUAAAUGAAUCUUUAUAGAUCAAUUUCCAUUUUCUCAUUCAGUUAUAUGUGUUAUUUUAGAUAUAAUAGUAUUUAUUCUCAUUGCUUAAUGGAAUACAACCAGAAGAGGUCACUGCCUCUUCUGUCAUUCUCCACAUGUUUGUUGAGCACCUAUUAUGCCCAAAGUGUAGUGUCAGGCUUGCAAUAAAGCAGAGCAACAGUGUACCCUAACUGAGUUAGAGCAUAACUUGUGCCUUUAGUAUUAAAAAAAUGUUUAGGUAUUGGUAUAAGCAAAGUGCUGGGGCGGUUUCAGAAAGCGGUGACUGGGAGUGAGUUCAGCCCCUGCAACAUCUAGCACAGGGCCUGAUGUGGUCUAAGCUCUAAAUAAGGGCUCAUGUCAUCAAACGCAGAAAGACAGCAUAUCUUGUUGGGAAUAAGUGUUAUUUCAUACACAUCUGGAAGAAGAAAAGCUGGGUUCAUGCAAAAUCUAUGGGCAGGAGUCAAGCAAUUUAGUAAAUACGUGUGGAAGUAGGUGAUGGAAUUCUCUGCCUUUGGGGCAUUUUUACCCACUUUUCAUGAUUUUGUUCUCAAUUCUGCUCAUUAUUAAAUUAUAUUAGUAAUUAUAUUAGUGACUAUUAAUAGUGAUUUUUAUGAAUUAGUAGUUUCUUUACAUUUUUAAGGAAGUUUAUAGCUACUUUAGGUAAAACUGUGAAGCAAGACGUUGUCAUCAGCUUCCCCUCCCCCCAGGUGAGACUUCUAUUUGGAAACAUAUGCAUCAAUAUAGAUCCUUUCUGUUUUUCAACCCUCUAAGAGCCAACUGCCUGCUAAUCCAUUGCUAUGUUGAUUGGUAAACAACCAAAAGUUAUAUAUCAGAGUCACUUUUCUCUGAAGUUGCAUAUUUAAAGAUGGCGGCAUGGAGUCAAGAUCAAGCUCAUAGUCUUCUCAAAGACUGUUCUCAAUGUCAACGCAGUGACUAAAGUCGUGGCGACUGUGAUCAUCAUGACGGGUUGGGGUCAAAAUAUACAGACUUCUACAUGCUGCCUCUUUUACACUGCCUUCUUUAGUGUCACAGCUGUAAAGGACCUGGAAAUAUUUUUUAAAAAACAACUAAGCAACCCAUCAAGCAAAUAUAAUUAUUUAAAGUCAUGAAUCACACUAGCAGCACCCAAGUAGGUGAGCUGAAAACUCAAGCCCCUUGAUGUGUAAGCCAGGGUUUGGGGCCAUUUCAAGAAUCAUUGUUUACCUAUUGCUAUAAGGUAACUUAAUUUCUAAUUCAGAACAGGCCUCAAGCUGAUAGUUUAUGAGUCUCAUUCUAUGAAGGAAAAAAAAUCUCGAGUAUUAAUUGUGAAUUAAUGAUAUAGUACAAUUUUCUCUCAAGUUACUUCAAAAAGAAGCAAUUUUCAUUACAGGGAGUAGAAAAACCAGCAGUUUCUAGUGAUUGCUCUAAGGCCCUCCAAAAUAUUGGUGAUGAGGUUAUUAGCCCUCUCCUGAGGUGUUUGCCCUAAGCCCCAGAGCUUCUCCAAUGGCCUCGUAGUUCAGUUUUAAACUAGCAAAUGAGCCUUGGCUUGAGAACAAACACAUGAACAGACCUAGACACCUGCUGUCAGGUAGGAGGAAGCCCAGGCUUCCCCACCCAGGAGCUUCCCCCUGGGGAAGGCUCAGGAGAGCAGGUUCCACCCAGAGCAGAGGGUUAGGAGACCACAUGUCUUGGGAGCUGCCACAGGUGGUUUUGCUCCUUGGAGCAGGUCAGGGUAAUAGCACAAUAAGCAAAUCAGAGCAAGGCUUUGGACUAAAGGCCCUGGAGGUGCACGGAUUUUCCGCCUGGCAUUUUUCUUGCUUUUCAAACAACAUAUUAAUGAUGCUGACCUUUUUAGUAAUUUGAUUCAACAAUGCCACAGCAGCAACAGUGCUCCAAGUCUGACAGGCUGAUGUGAGAAGCCAGGGAGGUAAUUACUGCUUUAAGUCAAAGAACUCUCUGUGCUUCUGCCACAGGAACAUUCCAUAUGGAGCAGACACUCCUCCCUCCUCCAGGCCCCACGACAGCCUUCGUCUUCCUGUGGGUUUGCUUCCCAGAGCUCAGGGAAACUGACCCUUGGCACCUCCAUGUGUAACCGGCGUGCUGGGGCCACCUCAGGUUUUCACGGAGUCCUAGGCUUGAAAGAACCCUUGCCAAUCGUCCCCUCUAACUUCCUUCUCCAAGUGGCCUUAGCCCUGAAAAGGGGACCAGCCUGCUUGGAUGCUUCUUCCUUGGGGAACACAGCCCCUGGCUCAAUGAGCGUGGGUCCCAGUCUUGACACCUGCCCUCUUAGCAGGGUGUUCAGGGUGACGGGGGGCAAGCAGACCUUAGACUCCUCAGCCUCAGCCUCCUGCCUCCAACUCUUCCUGUUCUCUCUUCCUCCUCUGAAUUAAAACUUUUUAUGAAAUAUCCAUCAAGUAUCCAACAGGUAGAUUCACAGUUAAAUAAAAGAUCCUGGGAAAGCAUGUUUUGGCCACAAGGCCACCAUGGUCAAGCCACAGUUGGAAUGGGAAAGAAAGAGGCAAGUUAAGAUGAUGUUUAGCUUAAAAAUGUAGCCAACCCCUUGGCAGUGGGCGGGUCCGUCUUCCCUCCUGGCCACCCCUUAUUCCUGUGCGCUGCAGUUUUCCUGAACCGCUUAGAUCAGGCUGGACCAUUUAGCUUUGGGCUUGUCACCAGAUUCACUUCCUGUCCCUCAAGUAUUUUAUCAUAGUUAGCUUUAAAACUGGAGGGUGAAGAAGCCCGCUUACUCACACUAAAACCCCGACCCCCAAGGUACUCAGCAAAGCACGAAGCACAAGAAAGAGGCCCAGCAACUUGAAGAAACUGCUUCCCUUGCAGAAGAGCUUCUCCUCAAGCAGGCUCUGGGGGGUGUGCUAACAGACGGACAGACAUCUUGCUGUCUCUAAUCAAAAACCUAAUUGAAGCAUCCAAAUACCCUUAUCAAUGCAGCCUCGCGUGGCUGCUAAGUGCCGAGUUAGCUCAGAACAUUCUGCUCCUAUCUCGGUGAUUCACAUCCUCACUCUGCCAAGAGGAGAGCUUUGAUGGCCUCGUUUCCCAGGCAAAGCAUUUACGAGAUCAUCAACAUCGGCAACAGGGGAGGAAUCAUGAUUUAUGACUUCUUAAAAAUGAAAGGAAGAAAGUUAAUGUUUCUCAAAUACAUAAUUAGAUUUAGGUUUCUCCAUGAGCAUUUCAAUGGAUACAAAAGAAAAAACGUGUAUCAAAAUUUCUUUAAAUUCCCUAUCAUUCAGUUUCUAAGUACUUAAUUUGCUUCAUUCAUUUUUUAUGUUUAAUUUUUAAUGUGCUUAUCAAAAUAAUAUGCUUGUAGUCUAAAAGUUCUACAAAGUUUGCAAUGAAAAACAGCAGUUCCACCUCUUCUCACUUUUGAUUUCCACUCCUAAUAUAUAACCAGUCAAUUCCUUUAGCUGUUUCUUAUAUUAUUACUCUCCAUCUGCUGGGUAAACAUUACACUGCUACUUCUUGAUUUUCCAAGUUUAGACCCUUGAUUUCCUAUAAUAGAAAUGAGGACUGAGCUCUGAUAUCCCUUCUCUUUUGCACAUUUACAAAUUCAUACCAAAUAUAUUUGUGUUAGUCAGCAUUCCGUUACUGUGACAAAAUGUCUGAAAUAAUAAACUUUAAAAGAGCAGAGGGUUUUUUUGGCUCCUGGUUUCAGAAGGUUUCAGUCCAUGGGCAGUUGCCUGCAUGGCUUUGGGGCCUGUGGCAAGUCAGUACCUUACGGUGGUAGCACAUGGCAGAGAAAACUGCUCUCCUCAUGGCAGCCAGAGGCCAAGUAAGAGACUGGGGUCCUGAUAUCUUUGUCCUUCCACUAGGCCCCACCUCCUAGAGGUUCCACCACGUCCCAGUGGCAUCCCAGGCUGGGGACAAAGCCUUCAACACAAGGGCUUCUGGAGGACAUUCAAGACCAAACUGUAGCAAUAUUUAUAUCAAAAGUGUCGACUCUGUCAUUAUUCAGGAAGUACAUUGUCAUGAUCAUAUCAAUAGACAUCAUGGCUGGGCCACAUGGGGUCACUGGCUUGUGUUUCUGGUCCACUGCUUUGAGGGUCAUUUGCUUGGUCUUCAGUGGUCUGUCAGUAGCUCACUUCCAAACUCUCUGCCAGUUCUGAAAGAGUCCCCCUGUGGUGGAGGAUGUCGUGAAGUCUGUACACUGUUUUCCCUUUUUCUUGCAGACAAGCCCUUGGAGCCUCCCCCACCCUCUGGCUGCUGUCCGCACGGGUUGCAGCGAGGCUGCCCCACAGCUGUAUGCUUGGGCCUUCUCUGAAACUGUCCUUGGCCUCUUCCUGUUUGACUCUUCUCCUUGAAUUCUAAAUUCCAGCUCCUCAUUUCCUAUUUAUUUCCCUCUUUGAUGGAAAAUUCUUUAAUAACUUUCUAAACAAGGAUACAGGGAGAUAAAUGUUCUGAGACUUUGCAUAUUUGAACGGUGGCUUAUGUGGAUAUCAAGUGUGGGUGGGAAUUUAAAUUUCUCGGUAUUUGAAAAGCAUCUGUCCCCUGUCUGUGGGUCUAGCUCCGCUGUCAACAGGUCCCGCACCAUUUGGAUUUCAAGCCAUUGUAGGUGUCCUGGUUGGGGGGGGUCUUGCUGAGGGCAUGUUUGCAGGGCUCUGAAACUCCCCAGGAUGCACUGUGACGCGAGGGUCUUCUCAUCCAUAAUGAAGGGCCCUGGGUGAAUCUUUCGGGUUUAGCUUCUGGAAGUUUUCUUACACCAUUUCUCUCUUCACACUCCCACCCUGUCCCCCCGACUUUCCCCGCCUGAAAUCCCUGGUUCUGCUAAUUCUUCAACCUAAUUUUCUUUUAGAGAAUAUCAGACACCAAAUCUUAGAUGAUUCUCUGAUUUUUCUGUCUUUUGCCUCCGGUUACCCACCUCAUUCUUCUUUUUAUUUUCUAAGAGAUUCCCUUAACUUUCUCUCCCAACUCGUUGCCUUCAUGCAUGAAUGUCCACCAUGUUUAGUUCUCCAGCGUAUUUUUCGUUCUCUCAGUGUUCCUUUUUUAUGGCACCCCAUUUUCGUACUAUGACUAUAAAGGGUUAAAUAAAUUAUUUAGUUAAAUAAAUUAAUUUUGGGUCUUCAAAGUUGCCAUUUCCUGCCAACCAGCAGAGUUAUCUAUUUUUUCGAAGUAAUUUCUUUUUUCUUUUUUGUCCAUUCCUUUUAUUGUGGUAAGAAUGUUUAACAUGAGAUCUACCCUUGCAAUAAAAUGUUCAGUGUACAAUAAAACAUUGGUACUUACAGACACAGCGUUGUAGAGCAG